This 253-nucleotide ribosomal RNA is filed under the name uncultured bacterium. RNAcentral describes it as "partial 16S ribosomal RNA". It matches the Rfam family "Bacterial small subunit ribosomal RNA", at positions 524 to 776 of the family's 1533-position model. The record is from RNAcentral.
UACGUAGGCAGCAAGCGUUGUUCGGAGUUACUGGGCGUAAAGGGUGUGUAGGCGGUUGGGUAAGGGUGGGGUGAAAUCUCCCGGCUCAACUGGGAGGGUGCGCUACAAACUGUCUGACUAGAGUGUGGGAUGGGUAAGUGGAAUUCCUGGUGUAGCGGUGAAAUGCGUAGAUAUCAGGAGGAACACCGGUGGUGUAGACGGCUUACUGGACCAUAACUGACGCUGAGACACGAAAGCGUGGGUAGCAAACAGG